Molecule: ribosomal RNA, 432 nt
Filed under: uncultured bacterium
Lineage: Bacteria
Description: bacterial SSU rRNA
Rfam family: Bacterial small subunit ribosomal RNA
Source: RNAcentral
GGGCCCGCACAAGCGGUGGAGUAUGUGGUUUAAUUCGAUGCAACGCGAAGAACCUUACCAGGGUUUGACAUCCUGCGAAUCUCUUGGAAACAGGAGAGUGCCUUCGGGAACGCAGUGACAGGUGGUGCAUGGCUGUCGUCAGCUCGUGUCGUGAGAUGUUGGGUUAAGUCCCGCAACGAGCGCAACCCACGUCUUUAGUUGCCAGCAUUUAGUUGGGCACUCUAGAGAGACUGCCGGUGAUAAACCGGAGGAAGGUGUGGAUGACGUCAAGUCAUCAUGCCCCUUACAUCCUGGGCUACACACGUGCUACAAUGGUCGGUACAGAGGGAAGCUACCCCGCAAGGGGGAUGCGGAUCUAUAAAACCGAUCUCAGUUCGGAUCGGGGUCUGCAACUCGACCCCGUGAAGCUGGAAUCGCUAGUAAUCGGAUAUC